RNAcentral lists this ribosomal RNA (405 nucleotides) under uncultured bacterium. RNAcentral's name for it is "partial 16S ribosomal RNA". It matches the Rfam family "Bacterial small subunit ribosomal RNA", at positions 30 to 526 of the family's 1533-position model. The record is from RNAcentral.
AUUGAACGCUGCGGCAGGCUUAACACAUGCAAGUAGAGCGAGCGGCGGCCGGGUGAGUAAUGCUUAGGACUCUGCCUAUUAGUGGGGGACAACCUCUCGAAAGGGCUGCUAAUACCGCAUACUACAAGAUGAGCCUAAGUCGGAUUGGCUAGUUGGUGGGGUAAAGGCCUACCAAGGCGACGAUCUGUAGCGGGUCUGAGAGGAUGAUCCGCCAAACUGAGGCUGAGACACUGCCCAGACGACGACGGGCGGAAGCAGUGGGGAAUAUUGGACAAUGGGGGCAACGCUGAACCAGCCAUGCGGCGUGUGUGAAGAAGUCCUUAUGGUUGUAAAGCACUUGAAGCGAGGAGGCGUUACUCGCAGAAUAAGCACCAGCUAACUCUGUGCCAGCAGCCGCGGUAAUAC